GAUGGGGCAUACAUAAUAGUUCUCUUUCCAAUGUUUCUUCCAGGUUAAAGACUUGAGGUCCAGGGGUUCUUAGGCCCAAGCUUCAUGGUCAGAGAGAGGCCCAGCGAGUAUUUGAACCUGGAAGUCUGAUGUCGUGAUGGGAACACCCAAGUAUACAGAUGGGAAGUCACUUUUCAAGGAUGCACAGCUGGCCAGAGGCAGAGAAGGCUACCUCGGGUGUCCAGUGUCUCCUGGCCUGUGUGGCUGUGCCCCUGGGGCCAAGAAGCAGAGAGAACACCAUUCAGGCUUCCAGGAACAGGCAGGCGGGCACCGGCUCCUUC
Molecule: long non-coding RNA, 320 nt
Organism: Nyctereutes procyonoides (raccoon dog)
Lineage: Eukaryota; Metazoa; Chordata; Mammalia; Carnivora; Canidae
Exons: 3
Source: RefSeq, a predicted model, not a curated record